This 466-nucleotide ribosomal RNA is filed under the name uncultured bacterium. RNAcentral's name for it is "partial 16S ribosomal RNA". It matches the Rfam family "Bacterial small subunit ribosomal RNA", at positions 28 to 507 of the family's 1533-position model. The record is from RNAcentral.
GAUGAACGCUGGCGGCGUGCUUAACACAUGCAAGUCGAACGAUGAAACCCAGCUUGCUGGGUGGAUUAGUGGCGAACGGGUGAGUAACACGUGAGUAACCUGCCCUUAACUCUGGGAUAAGCCUGGGAAACUGGGUCUAAUACCGGAUAGGAGCGCCUACCGCAUGGUGGGUGUUGGAAAGAUUUAUCGGUUUUGGAUGGACUCGCGGCCUAUCAGCUUGUUGGUGAGGUAAUGGCUCACCAAGGCGACGACGGGUAGCCGGCCUGAGAGGGUGACCGGCCACACUGGGACUGAGACACGGCCCAGACUCCUACGGGAGGCAGCAGUGGGGAAUAUUGCACAAUGGGCGAAAGCCUGAUGCAGCGACGCCGCGUGAGGGAUGACGGCCUUCGGGUUGUAAACCUCUUUCAGUAGGGAAGAAGCGAAAGUGACGGUACCUGCAGAAGAAGCACCGGCUAACUACGUG